GACGAACGCUGGCGGCGUGCUUAACACAUGCAAGUCGAACGGAAAGGCCCCCUUGUGGGGUACUCGAGUGGCGAACGGGUGAGUAACACGUGAGUAACCUACCCUUGACUUUGGGAUAACUUCAGGAAACUGGGGCUAAUACCGGAUAGGAGCUCCUGCUGCAUGGUGGGGGUUGGAAAGUUUCGGCGGUUGGGGAUGGACUCGCGGCUUAUCAGCUUGUUGGUGGGGUAGGCUCACCAAGGCUUUGACGGGUAGCCGGCCUGAGAGGGUGACCGGCCACAUUGGGACUGAGAUACGGCCCAGACUCCUACGGGAGGCAGCAGUGGGGAAUAUUGCACAAUGGGCGGAAGCCUGAUGCAGCAACGCCGCGUGCGGGAUGACGGCCUUCGGGUUGUAAACCGCUUUCGCCUGUGACGAAGCGUGAGUGACGGUAAUGGGUAAAGAAGCACCGGCUAACUACGUG
Molecule: ribosomal RNA, 463 nt
Filed under: uncultured bacterium
Lineage: Bacteria
Description: partial 16S ribosomal RNA
Rfam family: Bacterial small subunit ribosomal RNA
Source: RNAcentral